RNAcentral lists this ribosomal RNA (1035 nucleotides) under Bacteroides thetaiotaomicron. Its description in RNAcentral is "partial 16S ribosomal RNA". Lineage: Bacteria; Pseudomonadati; Bacteroidota; Bacteroidia; Bacteroidales; Bacteroidaceae. The record is from RNAcentral.
AUCCUGUCACCAGGUAGCUGCCUUCUGUACCCCCCAUUGUAACACGUGUGUAGCCCCGGACGUAAGGGCCGUGCUGAUUUGACGUCAUCCCCACCUUCCUCACAUCUUACGACGGCAGUCUCUCUAGAGUCCUCAGCAUGACCUGUUAGUAACUAAAGAUAAGGGUUGCGCUCGUUAUGGCACUUAAGCCGACACCUCACGGCACGAGCUGACGACAACCAUGCAGCACCUUCACAUUUGUCUUACGACUAUACUGUUUCCAAUAUAUUCAAAUGCAAUUUAAGCCCGGGUAAGGUUCCUCGCGUAUCAUCGAAUUAAACCACAUGUUCCUCCGCUUGUGCGGGCCCCCGUCAAUUCCUUUGAGUUUCACCGUUGCCGGCGUACUCCCCAGGUGGAAUACUUAAUGCUUUCGCUUGGCCGCUUACUGUAUAUCGCAAACAGCGAGUAUUCAUCGUUUACUGUGUGGACUACCAGGGUAUCUAAUCCUGUUUGAUACCCACACUUUCGAGCAUCAGUGUCAGUUGCAGUCCAGUGAGCUGCCUUCGCAAUCGGAGUUCUUCGUGAUAUCUAAGCAUUUCACCGCUACACCACGAAUUCCGCCCACCUCUACUGUACUCAAGACAGCCAGUAUCAACUGCAAUUUUACGGUUGAGCCGCAAACUUUCACAACUGACUUAACUGUCCACCUACGCUCCCUUUAAACCCAAUAAAUCCGGAUAACGCUCGGAUCCUCCGUAUUACCGCGGCUGCUGGCACGGAGUUAGCCGAUCCUUAUUCAUAUGGUACAUACAAAAUUCCACACGUGGAAAACUUUAUUCCCAUAUAAAAGAAGUUUACAACCCAUAGGGCAGUCAUCCUUCACGCUACUUGGCUGGUUCAGGCCUGCGCCCAUUGACCAAUAUUCCUCACUGCUGCCUCCCGUAGGAGUUUGGACCGUGUCUCAGUUCCAAUGUGGGGGACCUUCCUCUCAGAACCCCUAUCCAUCGAAGGUUUGGUGAGCCGUUACCUCACCAACUGCCUAAUGGAACGCAUCCC